GCUGCUGAGGCCAGCAGGACUACAGGCAAUUCCAGGCUUGACACUUGCUGGGUCCAAAAAUGACUUCAGGAAAACCAAAUAUUCAGAGCUGGUGGAGUGAAGCAUGACACAAGGCUCUCCCUUCUCAUGACAUUACAGAAAUUAUGAAGGCUGACUGCCUGAAAGGAGAAGGAACCUACUUCUGAACAAGCUUCCUCUCCCUUCCCAAACCAGUGGGGAAGGAAAGGGGGCAGUCAGUCCUGUAAAUCUCACAGUAAACUAUCCAUCAGUGGGAACCACAGGCUCUAAAGCAGCAGAGUUCAUAUUCACAUGCUUGAAUAUCAGCAUUCGGCUGGAACAUGCCCCAGAAAACUUUUUUUCUACUAAGAUCAACUAUGACAGC
Molecule: long non-coding RNA, 382 nt
Organism: Passer domesticus (house sparrow)
Lineage: Eukaryota; Metazoa; Chordata; Aves; Passeriformes; Passeridae
Exons: 3
Source: RefSeq, a predicted model, not a curated record